RNAcentral lists this ribosomal RNA (253 nucleotides) under uncultured bacterium. RNAcentral's name for it is "partial 16S ribosomal RNA". It matches the Rfam family "Bacterial small subunit ribosomal RNA", at positions 524 to 776 of the family's 1533-position model. The record is from RNAcentral.
UACAGAGGGUGCAAACGUUGCUCGGAAUUAUUGGGCGUAAAGCGCGUGUAGGCGGUUUGCUAAGUCGGCUGUGAAGGCCCAUGGCUCAACCAUGGAAGUGCAGCCGAAACUGGUAGGCUUGAGUCCUGGAGAGGGUGGCGGAAUGCCCAGUGUAGAGGUGAAAUUCGUAGAUAUUGGGUAGAACACCGGUGGCGAAGGCGGCCACCUGGACAGCGACUGACGCUAAGACGCGAAAGCGUGGGGAGCGAACAGG